CUUGAGGAUCCAUACCAGGCCGAACAAGGCGGCAAACAUGCAGAUUGUGAUGCAAUAAAGCAGAUAAUGAGGCUUGAUGUGGUUGAGGAAGGCACUUGUUAGCACAUUAAUUAGACAAUGACUCGACGAUGUCAACGAGAAUCGAUAAUAGUGUUUUGGAUUGGACUCGAGCACGUGAACUCAUGCAAUCUUUACCAGCGGUUUAGAUGGACGCACAUUUCGCUUAGCCUAGUUUGCGGAUUUUGCGGCAGGAAUGUGGUAUAAAAAUGUGUAUAUACAGUUAAAAAUUUGCUUAAAAAGCAAUCAGUAUUCUACAUGUUUGCUUGUUCGUCAAAUGACUGUGAUUUAUUAGGGACAUAAUGGAUCAAUCAAUUGCCGACAUUUUGUUUUUUUUCUAGUAUUUAUUUAACAUUAACAAAGUUGACUGUGAACAGAUCUAAAUAAAUAGAAUUUUAAUGUUUCGUU
Molecule: long non-coding RNA, 465 nt
Organism: Dendroctonus ponderosae (mountain pine beetle)
Lineage: Eukaryota; Metazoa; Arthropoda; Insecta; Coleoptera; Curculionidae
Exons: 2
Source: RefSeq, a predicted model, not a curated record